ACCAGACUCCUACGGGAGGCAGCAGUAAGGGAUAUUGGUCAAUGGGGGAAACCCUGAACCAGCAACGCCGCGUGAGGGAAGACGGUUUUCGGAUUGUAAACCUCUGUCCUCUGUGAAGAUGAUGACGGUAGCAGAGGAGGAAGCUCCGGCUAACUACGUGCCAGCAGCCGCGGUAAUACGUAGGGGGCGAGCGUUAUCCGGAUUCACUGGGUGUAAAGGGAGCGUAGACGGCCAUGCAAGCCAGGGGUGAAAGCCCGGGGCCCAACCCCGGGACUGCCCUUGGAACUGCAUGGCUGGAGUGCGGGAGGGGCAGGCGGAAUUCCUGGUGUAGCGGUGAAAUGCGUAGAUAUAAGGAGGAACACCGGCGGCGAAGGCGGCCUGCUGGACCGCGACUGACGUUGAGGCUCGAAAGCGUGGGGAGCGGACAGGAUUAGAUACCCCCGUAUCA
This 448-nucleotide ribosomal RNA is filed under the name uncultured bacterium. RNAcentral describes it as "partial 16S ribosomal RNA". It matches the Rfam family "Bacterial small subunit ribosomal RNA", at positions 330 to 795 of the family's 1533-position model. The record is from RNAcentral.